RNAcentral lists this unclassified non-coding RNA (211 nucleotides) under Hevea brasiliensis (rubber tree). The record is from RNAcentral. Lineage: Eukaryota; Viridiplantae; Streptophyta; Magnoliopsida; Malpighiales; Euphorbiaceae.
AAUUAAACAAGGCUUAUGAAACCCAUCCAUAAAAAAAUGCACAGUAAGAGCAUUUGCAAAGUAUGAGCAUUCAACCAUCAAAAUUUUCAUUAAAAAAAUACAAAAAUAAUAUUAGAGAAAAUACAAGGCAAACAACACAAAUGAAUAGAAGCAGCACUGCUGUUUUCCUCAAGCUGUAGUUUAUUCACAUUAGUAAGAACUAAGAAGAGUA